CCUACGGGGUGCUGCAGUGAGGAAUAUUGGUCAAUGGGCGUAAGCCUGAACCAGCCAAGUCGCGUGAGGGAUGAAGGUUCUAUGGAUCGUAAACCUCUUUUAUAAGGGAAUAAAGUGCGGGACGUGUCCCGUUUUGUAUGUACCUUAUGAAUAAGGAUCGGCUAACUCCGUGCCAGCAGCCGCGGUAAUACGGAGGAUCCGAGCGUUAUCCGGAUUUAUUGGGUUUAAAGGGUGCGUAGGCGGCCUUUUAAGUCAGCGGGGAAAGUCUGUGGCUAAACCAUAGAAUUGCCGUUGAAACUGGGAGGCUUGAGUAUGGUUGAGGCAGGCGGAAUGCGUGGUGUAGCGGUGAAAUGCUUAGAUAUCACGCAGAACCCCGAUGGCGAAGGCAGCCUGCCAAGCCAUGACUGACGCUGAUGCACGAAAGCGUGGGGAUCAAACAGGAUUAGAACCCUGGUAGUC
This 459-nucleotide ribosomal RNA is filed under the name uncultured bacterium. RNAcentral describes it as "partial 16S ribosomal RNA". It matches the Rfam family "Bacterial small subunit ribosomal RNA", at positions 338 to 795 of the family's 1533-position model. The record is from RNAcentral.